AGUUAAUGAACUUGAAUAAGUAUUUGUUUUGAAAACAAAAAAUAGAAAUCUAAAUUUUCUAUUAACUU
This 68-nucleotide transfer RNA is filed under the name Endochironomus albipennis. RNAcentral describes it as "tRNA-Ser". Lineage: Eukaryota; Metazoa; Arthropoda; Insecta; Diptera; Chironomidae. The record is from RNAcentral.